UUCCGGUUGAUCCUGCCGGACCCGACUGCUAUUUGGGUGAGAAUAAGCCAUGCGAGUUGAAUGGGAUACCUAACGUUCCCAUAGCAAACUGCUCAGUAACACAUGAUCAACUUACCCUAUAGAGAAAAAUAACCUCGGGAAACUGAGGAUAAUAUUUCAUAAUUGAAUUGGCUUGGAAAAGUUUUUCAAUGAAAAGGAUAAAAAAAAUGGUUUUUAUCUGCUAUAGGAUAGGAUCGUGUUCGAUUAUGGUUGUUGGUGAGAUAAUGGCUCACCAAGCCGAUAAUCGAUAGGGGCCGUGAGAGCGGGAGCCCUGAGAUGAAUACUGAGACAAUGAUUCAGGCCUUACGAGGCGCAGCAGGCGCGAAACCUUUACAAUGCACGCGAGUGUGAUAAGGCUACCCGGAGUGCCGAGAGAAAAACUGUCGGCUGUUAUAGGUGUGUAAAAUACCCUAUGAGAAAGGAGAGGGCAAGGCUGGUGCCAGCCGCCGCGGUAAAACCAGCUCUUCAAGUGGUCGGGACUUUUAUUGGGCUUAAAGUGUCCGUAGCCGGUUUAAUAAGUUCCUGGUUAAAUCUGACAGCUUAACUGUCAGUUCGCUAGGAAUACUGUUUUACUAGAGGGUGGGAAAGGUCUGAGGUACUCUAGGGGUAGCGGUGAAAUGUGAUAAUCCUUAGGGGACCACCAGUGGCGAAGGCGUCAGACUGGAACACGCCUGACGGUGAGGGACGAAAGCUAGGGGAGCGAACGGGAUUAGAUACCACGGUAGUCCUAGCUGUAAACGAUGCGUGCUAGGUGUUGGUAGGGCUUUGAGCUGUACCAGUGCCAAAGGGAAACUGUUAAGCGCGCCGCCUGGGAAGUACGCUCGCAAGAGUGAAACUUAAAGGAAUUGGCGGGGGAGCACCACAAGGGGUGAAGCCUGCGGUUCAAUUGGACUCAACGCCGGG
This 942-nucleotide ribosomal RNA is filed under the name uncultured archaeon. RNAcentral's name for it is "bacterial SSU rRNA". It matches the Rfam family "Archaeal small subunit ribosomal RNA", at positions 1 to 922 of the family's 1478-position model. The record is from RNAcentral.